UACGAAGGGGGCUAGCGUUGCUCGGAAUUACUGGGCGUAAAGGGCGCGUAGGCGGAUAUUUAAGUUGGGGGUGAAAUCCCGGGGCUCAACCUCGGAAUUGCCUUCAAAACUGGAUAUCUUGAGUUCGGGAGAGGUGAGUGGAACUCCGAGUGUAGAGGUGAAAUUCGUAGAUAUUCGGAAGAACACCAGUGGCGAAGGCGGCUGACUGGUCCGGUUCUGACGCUGAGGCGCGAAAGCGUGGGGAGCAAACAGG
This 253-nucleotide ribosomal RNA is filed under the name uncultured bacterium. RNAcentral describes it as "partial 16S ribosomal RNA". It matches the Rfam family "Bacterial small subunit ribosomal RNA", at positions 524 to 776 of the family's 1533-position model. The record is from RNAcentral.